This 468-nucleotide ribosomal RNA is filed under the name uncultured bacterium. Its description in RNAcentral is "partial 16S ribosomal RNA". It matches the Rfam family "Bacterial small subunit ribosomal RNA", at positions 28 to 507 of the family's 1533-position model. The record is from RNAcentral.
GAUGAACGCUGGCAGCGUGCUUAACACAUGCAAGUCGAACGGUGAAGGCGGAGCUUGCUCUGCUGGAUCAGUGGCGAACGGGUGAGUAACACGUGAGCAAUCUGCCCCUGACUCUGGGAUAAGCGCUGGAAACGGCGUCUAAUACUGGAUACGAGCUGCGAAGGCAUCUUCAGCAGCUGGAAAGAAUUUCGGUCAGGGAUGAGCUCGCGGCCUAUCAGCUUGUUGGUGAGGUAAUGGCUCACCAAGGCGUCGACGGGUAGCCGGCCUGAGAGGGUGACCGGCCACACUGGGACUGAGACACGGCCCAGACUCCUACGGGAGGCAGCAGUGGGGAAUAUUGCACAAUGGGCGAAAGCCUGAUGCAGCAACGCCGCGUGAGGGACGACGGCCUUCGGGUUGUAAACCUCUUUUAGCAGGGAAGAAGCGAAAGUGACGGUACCUGCAGAAAAAGCGCCGGCUAACUACGUG